AUUGAACGCUGGCGGCAGGCCUAACACAUGCAAGUCGAGCGGAUGAAGGGAGCUUGCUCCUGGAUUCAGCGGCGGACGGGUGAGUAAUGCCUAGGAAUCUGCCUGGUAGUGGGGGAUAACGUCCGGAAACGGGCGCUAAUACCGCAUACGUCCUGAGGGAGAAAGUGGGGGAUCUUCGGACCUCACGCUAUCAGAUGAGCCUAGGUCGGAUUAGCUAGUUGGUGGGGUAAAGGCCUACCAAGGCGACGAUCCGUAACUGGUCUGAGAGGAUGAUCAGUCACACUGGAACUGAGACACGGUCCAGACUCCUACGGGAGGCAGCAGUGGGGAAUAUUGGACAAUGGGCGAAAGCCUGAUCCAGCCAUGCCGCGUGUGUGAAGAAGGUCUUCGGAUUGUAAAGCACUUUUAGUUGGGAGGAAGGGCAGUAAGUUAAGACCUUGCUGUUUUGACGUUACCAACAGAAUAAGCACCGGCUAACUUCGU
Molecule: ribosomal RNA, 483 nt
Filed under: uncultured bacterium
Lineage: Bacteria
Description: partial 16S ribosomal RNA
Rfam family: Bacterial small subunit ribosomal RNA
Source: RNAcentral